Molecule: ribosomal RNA, 301 nt
Filed under: uncultured bacterium
Lineage: Bacteria
Description: partial 16S ribosomal RNA
Rfam family: Bacterial small subunit ribosomal RNA
Source: RNAcentral
CAGUCGCCACGGUAAUACGUAGGGUGCAAGCGUUAAUCGGAAUUACUGGGCGUAAAGCGUGCGCAGGCGGUCCGCUAAGACAGAUGUGAAAUCCCCGGGCUUAACCUGGGAACUGCAUUUGUGACUGGCGAGCUAGAGUAUGGCAGAGGGGGGUAGAAUUCCACGUGUAGCAGUGAAAUGCGUAGAGAUGUGGAGGAAUACCGAUGGCGAAGGCAGCCCCCUGGGCCAAUACUGACGCUCAUGCACGAAAGCGUGGGGAGCGAACAGGAUUAGAUACCCCAGUAGUCCCUGUCUCUUAUAC